This is a long non-coding RNA of Homo sapiens (human), 1164 nucleotides long. Ensembl annotates it as progenitor renewal associated non-coding RNA. Its record names the gene PRANCR. The record is from Ensembl. NCBI's taxonomy places the organism in Eukaryota, Metazoa, Chordata, Mammalia, Primates, Hominidae.
GACCCCCGUCGCUCCGGCUUCCCUCCAGGCGGCAGCGGAAGGUGGGAGCGACGACUGCAAAACGGCAGCGAUGGGGUGGGUAGGCAGGCCGCUUUCAGCGCGCUUCUAACAAGGUGGAGAGAGGCGCUUCACUUCCCUACCGCCCUUACCGCCGCUCCGUCUUGUCUCCCACCGACUCACAGGGAGGCUUGCUGCUCCUCCGCGGCCGUUACAGAGAGCGGGGCUUCUGCGGCCGCUACCGUUUCCCUGGGGCUAGGUUGCUUCGCAGAAGGCUCUGGCCCUGAGUCCGAGGGGGACUGCGGGGUCCAGGGGCGAUGAAUGGUGAGGUGGCUUCAGUCCGCCCUCCCCGGGGACGCUGAGCGUGUUCGUGUUCGUGUUUGUGUUUGUGUUUGUGUUGGACACCCCCGCCCCCGCACGUCCGCCUCGUCACUCCUCCCCUCCUCACUCCCGCCACCUGGAGCGAAUCUGAUCGUGUCCCUGUUUCCUCCCUCAGCUCCCGCAACCUCCGGAGCUUGUGCGCGUACUUCAGGGACCGGCACCACGUCACCGUCACCUCCUGAGUAGUGAGUUCCCCUCUGAUGAAACCACUGGUGUGUUUACUCACCAUCCCCACCAUUUUUUUUUCCCCAACCUGAUGGAAGGAAGUACAUAAUGGAGAGCAAGUUUUUAAAGCACGGUCGUGUCGUGUGAACUUGCUCUAGCCAAAUUAGGUUUAUAGCACUUUUUUUGGCUCUCAUUACCUCCAGUCCCCACAUAAACAAGAGUGACCAGCUGGGUCAUCCGCAAGACCGUUUGAAAUUAUUGUGGCUUGGGUGGAAACUUAAAGGAGUGAAGUAUCUGCUUUCCAGAAAAAUCGUUGUCAUUCAAAGUGAAAUUAAACUUGUUUUCUUUGCAAUAAUUCGCCUUUAUUUCCUUGUAUAUCUGUAAACUCUUCACUUUUUUGUAAUUACUAGACAAUUCGGACUUAAAAAGAGCCUCAGCAUGUGUAUUUUGGAAUUGUGUAGCUUCAUAAUGUGAAAAUUAUUCUUUUCUAUUUGAGUAAAGUACAGUUAAUUUGAAGUAAAUAAAAUUUCUAUUUCCAUUGGUUGUUUCUUUUAAAAAGUCACCUUUUACUUACAAAAGAAUCACUGUAAUCCAGUUUACAUUUAUCAUUGAAGGUCAAAA